Ribosomal RNA from Petromyzon marinus (sea lamprey), 119 nucleotides. The record is from Ensembl. NCBI's taxonomy places the organism in Eukaryota, Metazoa, Chordata, Hyperoartia, Petromyzontiformes, Petromyzontidae.
GCCUACGACCAUCUCACCCUGAAUGCGCGCGAUCUCGUCUGAUCUCGGAAGCUAAACAGAGUCGAGCCUGGUUAAUACUUGGAUGGGAGACUGCCUGGGAAUACCAGGUGUUGUAGGCU